Falco peregrinus (peregrine falcon) is the source of this 2508-nucleotide long non-coding RNA. RefSeq lists it as uncharacterized. The record is from RefSeq and is a predicted model, not a curated record. The transcript is spliced from 3 exons. Lineage: Eukaryota; Metazoa; Chordata; Aves; Falconiformes; Falconidae.
CGUGCCGCGCCGCAGCAGCCAUUCCUGGACUCCUGGGGGAGCGGCACCUAGAGCCGCGGCAAGGUGCAAACCGUCUCCGCCUCCCCCCCCCCCCCCCCCUCAAAAAGGCUUCAGGUUCAACCAGUGUCACAGAACCAACAUUUCACCGAUGAAAACUCCAGCUUGUUUUAGGCUGCAGGAGCCGGGCAAAGAACUGCGUGUCCCGUCCAGAGUGCGGCUCCAGAGAGAGAGGGUAGUCGGUCCGCAGAAGCGCGGAUUUCCCGCCAACUACUGCCAGGGACAGCUGUCCUGGCCGCGGCCCUUCACAGCCCCUGUCGCAGCCCAGCUGCGCACAGCACCCGUGGAUCCUCAUGUCAACACAGCGCUUGGCGACAAGGCAGAACAACAGAACUCUAUAAGAAUAAAAAUGCAAUCUCAGACUAAACUAACGAAAUUCAGGGUAAACCCUGACUACACAAAACUGCUGAGAGGAUUUAUAAAAGUCUGGAUCGGUUUCUCAAUCAGAAAUACACUCGUGUUUCCGUUCUCUGGCUUGGCCAUUUAAGUUUAGUCAAGAUGUUUGAAUAUAGAAGCAGAGAGAGAGAAAGAGAGAGAGUACACGCGCGCAUGUAGCUGCUAGCUUGCAGAUGGUUUGCUCUAAGAGUGAUUGUGCCAAGUUCUAGAGAAAUACUCUGGAACAUAAAAAGACAAACAAUCAUGAGAAAAAGAAAAACUUAGAACGUAAUAAAUACCAUUCACUUUCAAAACAUCAAUUGCAUUUAAUUCUACAGCCUCACGAGUAGAAAUUCCCCUAGCGCUAAAAGUUCUCCAAACAUAAUUAUAAACCGAGGAGUUUCUAAAGGGAGAAAGGGUACAGGGAAAAAUAUAGAGACAGCUUUAUAACAUUGUUCACAUUACCCUUUUCUACCUUGGUAUCAACAACAAAGCCAACUUUCUGCAGUCAGAUAUCCGCGAGCCCUUUCAUACUGCUUCUCUUUCUAAAUGGGAGAAAUCAGUGCAAAGACAGGAGAGUGGUUUUGACUUGCAGAUCAGAUCGGCUGGAGGAGCGAACGGCUUGCCUACAGCCUAGCGAAUUUUCAAUUUUCUGCCACUUCUUCCUUAAACCGUCACUGAUAUCAGCGAAUCCCUUGCACCAAACCGCUAACACUUAUCGAUACAGUCAUUCGAAAUUAUGAUUUAUCUGCACUGCGUGUGUUGUGCAAUAUUGGGGGGGAUUUUUUGUGACGAUCGGUGAUUUCUGUUUCUCGCUCAUCAUCUGAUGAAGAGGAGCGGCGGCGUUCCCGGGGACGGUGAUACCACACCACAAGGGUGGACUUUGUUUUGCCGCCGUGCGGGGAGACAGAGUUAAUGUUUUUGUUAAUGUUUAUUUUAUUGGGCAAGGGCUCUGAUCAGUGUGUUAAAGCGGCGAGCGGAGCCAAGCAGCCAAUGCAGCUGCGGACGGUGCCUACCGGCGGUCCGGCCACCUCCCCGCUGCGGCUACCGCCCCGGCCUGGCACGGGCCAAUGAGGCUCGGCGCGGAGCGGCUCCGGCUCUGCGCCCCCGCCGCGUCCCCCAUCCUCGCUUCACGUUCAAGGUUUAACAGCGAGGUCAUGUUCAUUGACGUCAGCUUGAGGUUUACUGUACGUCCGGCUACAUUUACAUACAUCAAGGAAAUUAGGGCAUUAAAAAAAUAUGCAAAUCCUACUGCUUGGAGAAGAAACUGAAGAUUUCUGGAGCGAUCGCCCCUAUUAAUGAAGAUCGCAAUUAAUAGAAAAAACAAUCCGUUCUCCCCCCCUCCCCCCCAACUUCAUAAAGAACAAAACCAAAAAAAAAAACCGAAAUAACAAAUAUAAAUUAGGCACGGGAAGGCUGGGAUUUUGCGUCGGCCGGGGCCGGCUGCAACGCGGCACGGAAGAGACCCGCUCAGAGCAGGCUGCUCCAGACGGCUUCCCAUGCAUAAUCAGGGAUUCACCGCUGCGCCAUUCUCCUCUCCUCCUCCUCCUGGUUCCACCGUGUACUAUUUUUAAUAGCGAUGCAUAUGUAAAGCUCUAUUUUGCAUUUUUUAAUUAUCCGAAAGUUUGAAGCUAUCGCUUUUUCUCUGAUUUUUCCUUCCUUUCUUUACUCUUCUUUUUCUUCCCCUUCCCCUCCCCCCGGCAUGACUCUGCUGUGUAUGUGCCUUUAUAUGCAGUUUCCUCCCUGCUUUUAUUUGUAUAAGGUUACAAAAUAUGCACAAAGCUAAUAAAGCAAAUAAAGGCGCACAACACGUUUAUUGGGUUUUAAGAGGAGAGGCACAUAUCAUUACCAUGUUCAGCUAUAAUACCAAUAGGUCGAACCUGGAAAUUUGAUUGCCUAAUUAACUUCAUAUUAGGGAAAAACAAUACUGUUUUAAGGUAUAAGGCAAUACAGAUAAUGGGUGUAAUGGGGACCGAUUCAAAGGAUUUAUAAUACUUCCUUGCAGAAUUACGACUUAUAAACGCACUUAUAUCUCUGUUGAUUUCUAGAUUGUUUUAUUUCAGAAUAUUAUCUUAA